RNAcentral lists this transfer RNA (70 nucleotides) under Dryadomorpha sp. EMHAU-2015-Zz060407. RNAcentral describes it as "tRNA-Glu". The record is from RNAcentral. Lineage: Eukaryota; Metazoa; Arthropoda; Insecta; Hemiptera; Cicadellidae.
AUUCUUAUAGUUUAAAAAAAACGUUUUAUUUUCAUUAAAAAGAUAAAGUAUAUUUCAUUAUUUAAGAGUU